RNAcentral lists this small nuclear RNA (102 nucleotides) under Cariama cristata (Red-legged seriema). The record is from RNAcentral. Lineage: Eukaryota; Metazoa; Chordata; Aves; Cariamiformes; Cariamidae.
GCACUUCAGCAGCACAUAUACCAAAACUGGAACAGUACAGAGAAUAUUAGCAUGGCUGCUGUGCAAGGGUAACACAGACCUAACGAAGCAACCCAUGGAACA